Long non-coding RNA from Homo sapiens (human), 1741 nucleotides. The record is from Ensembl. Lineage: Eukaryota; Metazoa; Chordata; Mammalia; Primates; Hominidae.
GGGAGGAAACUGGAAUCCAGCAGCGGCGAGCAGCAGCUGGACGGUAACAUCUGGAAAUGGAAAGCCGACCUCCCCCUCCUCCUCCACCUCCUCCUCCUCCUCCUCCUUCUCCUCCUCUCACCCAGGAUCACUUCCGAAACCACUUGGCCUUCAGCCCCUGCCUCGGCCAGAGGUUUCAUUUUUAACUGAAUAUUUACCAAAGCUGAAAGCGUGCGAGGGGGGUGGGGUGGAAAUAGCGGCUGCUUCUUUUCCAAGGAUUUAUUUAAUGGGGAUGUGUUCAAGGCAAGACCGAAUUCAGAAGGAUAUCGACGUCGUGAUCCAGAAGUCCAGAGCUGAGGACUGCCUGUUUGCAGAUUUCAGAUACUCAGACUCCACCUUUACUUUUACCUAUGUUGGCGGCCCCAGAAGAUUAGCAAUAAACUCCUUAAAACCCAAAGGUUUGGGCUUCUGUUCCUUUCACUUGCAGUCAGACAUGGAGUUAGUGGUAGAAGAAACAGAAGGGGUAACCUGCAUGGUGACAGCUACUGAGGGGAUGGAUAGGAAAGCAGGCUGAGUCCCUGGGGCCAGUGGUUACCAAAGCCAAGGAGAGAGCAAGGGGAGCCCAGUGGGCCUGGCCAUGGACUGCUCUGGAAUUCCGAGUGUGAACUUUCAGCCAAGAAGGAGCUUCUGUCUAGAUGAAUAGCAAAUGUGACACUGAUAAUAGUAAUCGAAUAUUCCUCCAAGUACAGGCUCCUUCCUCUUUCUCCUGGACCUUUGCACAUGCUGCCUGGAAAACUCACCCACAACCUACUUUCCAUCCUCUCCUUCGGCUCAUCCCUGCUCAGCCCUCUUUGUUGAGAUAUUUGCCAAGCCAGAUUCUCUGAGAAGCCUUUCCUGGCAUCUUCGUCUAUAUAAUUCUGCUAGUUGUUUCUAAAACUAUGUUGUUAGUGUAUAUUGUAAUCACCUAUUUAUGUCUGUUUGACUGUGAGCCUCUUGGAGAUGGGAAUUCUCUCCUAUGCAUUGCGGUUUCCCCAGGCCCUAGCACACUGUCUAGCCCAGUAUUCCUUCUCAGUAAGUAGGUGUUGAAUGACUUACAAAAUGAAUGCUAAAAGACCUGGUAGACAAGAAGGAAUUUCUUAGCCUAAAUGACCAGAUGUGGAGAAGAUACUCAAACACUUCAGGGUCCCCGAUCUGGUGAUGUCACUUGCAGUGGAAUUUCAUAUGAAUCCAGUGUGACAGAAGUUGCCUAGUCAAGUUGUAAGUCCUCUUCUCUGGGUCACAUGUUCAAAUACUUUUAGGAGACAGAUAAUGCAAUAUUUAAGAUACAGGAAGUGAUGAAGACUGUGGCACACUGGAGAGUUUGGACUCCAAGAGUAAUUAAUUCAGUUGAAAAAAUCAACAGCACUCUGUUGAUCAAGCAAACUUUCUAGGGGCCCUAAUCCACCUGGGCCUGCAGUAUGUAAUUCCAUAACUCAUGGGAUGCCAUCAAGAGAGACAAUCUACUUGAUUGCUAAAGGGCCUUUGUUUUCUUUGGAGUUCCCCAGGAAGGAGAAAUGUAUGUGUGUGCAGGGGUGAGGAGGGGGGAGAGUGAAGAAACAAUACUAUCCCCUUAAAAAGGUUUGUCAGUUUUCAUUAUGAAAGAAGACCAAACGUGCCCACUCCAGAAAUCUUGGCAUAUGCAGUUAUUUUGAAGCCAUUCAGCGUUCUUCAAGAUGUCACAAUGAAAAGAGUGAUGGUUUUUUAAAUAAAAAAUUAACAUGUU